Molecule: ribosomal RNA, 437 nt
Filed under: Blastocystis sp. subtype 1
Lineage: Eukaryota; Bigyra; Opalinata; Blastocystidae
Description: bacterial SSU rRNA
Rfam family: Eukaryotic small subunit ribosomal RNA
Source: RNAcentral
UGCAUUGGAUUGAGAACAAUGUACAACUCUUAUCGAUAAGCCAUUGGAGGGCAAGUCUGGUGCCAGCAGCCGCGGUAAUUCCAGCUCCAAUAGCGUAUAUUAACGUUGUUGCAGUUAAAAAGCUCGUAGUUGAAGUGUGGGUGAUGCUGGCUGAGAAACUUCGGUCACUCGAAUGAUCACCACCCCCUUCCAGUAUCCAGUAGUGGGUAUUCAGUUACUUACUAUUGUGUGUUGGUCGUUUACUGUGAGAAAAUUAGAGUGUUCAAAGCAGGCGUUUGCUUGAAUAGAUUAGCAUGGAAUAAUAAUUGAAGGCUUUCGUGUUCGAUUUGAUUGGUUUGUUCAUGGAAGCAAGGUUAAAAGGAACAGUUGGGGGUAUUCAUAUUCACUAGUUAGAGGUGAAAUUCUCGGAUUUAUGGAAGAUGAACAAGUGCCGAAAG